AUAAUAUGUAUAAUAUAAAGAGACACCUGAUAAAGAUUCAUGGAAUAACGACUCCGAAAGAAGUAGACGAUAAUGCCGCAAGAUCAUCAAAAAGAUGUCCAAUUGAAAAGGAGCAAGCUGAAAAGGAGCAAGUUCACGAAAUAACGACUCCGAAAGAAGUAGACGAUAAUGCCGCAAGAUCAUCAAAAAGAUGUCCAAUUGAAAAGGAGCAAGCUGAAAAGGAGCAAGUUCACGAGUA
Monomorium pharaonis (pharaoh ant) is the source of this 238-nucleotide long non-coding RNA. RefSeq lists it as uncharacterized. The transcript has 3 exons. The record is from RefSeq and is a predicted model, not a curated record. NCBI's taxonomy places the organism in Eukaryota, Metazoa, Arthropoda, Insecta, Hymenoptera, Formicidae.